Triticum urartu is the source of this 3734-nucleotide non-coding RNA. The record is from RefSeq and is a predicted model, not a curated record. NCBI's taxonomy places the organism in Eukaryota, Viridiplantae, Streptophyta, Magnoliopsida, Poales, Poaceae.
CAAACUAACUUGGACUUCAUUGCACCAUUUUGGGCGCCGGCAGCUCCUUCCUUCGCCAUGGAUACACCAUAGACAUGUUAAGGACAGCGAUCCGGGUGCAUGGGAGCAACUGCUGAUGGAGGUUGAGUCAAAGUGUCAUGACUGGCUGCUGCAGAUCUUUGGCACGGAGUUCGACAAAGACACUCCUCUCAUGAGUUCUACUUCCUCAAGAUAGGAGUGAGAUUCGAUGGGACAUGACCAGAUUAUGAUGUUGGACUAGCAAAUUUAGCAGAUGAUGAUGUUGUACAUCAAUUCAGACUCGAGAGACCGUAAGCUAAAAGAAAAAAAUAUACAGGAGUUCAAAGUCGAGAAAUAGGGGGAUGUUUGUUCGUAUGUCUAAAAAUAAUUGAGUUUAUAUAGGAGUUCAAAUGGAUAAAAAAUGAAUAUUUAUAUGUUUGAAGUUCAUUGACCAAAAUUCUAAAAGUUCAAAUUGAGAAAAGUGGUAAGUUCGGACGAAAAAUAAAUGAGCCAUUCGACAAUUUCACUGAGAAAAAGGUAAGGAGUUUAUGUAUAACUGUAGCUAGUGCCCCAUGAAUCAACAUAGCAAUGUAGUAAAAAAAGUUUGUUUACAUCUCUCUAGCUGUAUGAGAGUGAAUGUUUUGUUAUUAUAUCUGUUUCAUUGCUUGUCUUCAGUCACCUAAAUAAGGUCAUGAAAAAUCUGUAAGUUUGGUGCGUGUGCUGUUACAAAUCUAAACUUCUUGUCCAGUAAUUCUAGUACCGAUGAACAUCGAGUUGAUUGAAAUUAUGUACUCCUAGUUGGUUUCUGAGACCCUUACUGGUCCUUCUAUAUUUAGAAGUUGUGCCUGAUAGCCAUACAUGACUUCUCUGUAUGACAAAUGGUGCGAGAAAAUUCUGAAUACAUGGCACGACCGCUCUUGGACACUAAACAUGUAUACCUUAUUUAUUUGUGCAUCCAGUCUGUGCAUCUUCUGUUCUAAAAUUCCUAGAGCGUCAGUGCAACUACAUAUCAGGGUAUACUAUGUUGAUUCUAUGAUUUUCCAUAUGCUUGUAUGUAAAAAAAUGGUAUAUUUACUGCUUCAUUUUCUUGUGGUGCAAAUGUUGUUGAUGUACAUAAUUUUUGCUGACCACCAGCCUCCCCCACUGCGCCGCCGCCCCGACCACCAGCCUCCCCGGGCAUGGUACGCAAUCCACUCCUUGUGCCACACCGUUCUCCAUGCCCCGCCCUGCGCCACCAGCCGCCGCCUCCCUCCCGCGCGCCACCCGCGACUGCCAUGCCAAGGCUUGCGCUCAGCGGCUGGGGGGGCAACGGGGUCAAGGAUCUUCAUCUCGGCAGUACAACUGCAUGCCCCGUCCAUGUUCAUGAAAAGUUCUGCAUGCAGGCCACCCGUGCUCUGCCUUGGAUCCGUUCAACAAUCCAGUCGUCGUCAUCAUGGUUUCUGCCCGACGACCGUCAUACUUUUCUCAGUCCAACUUCUUGUUUCGCCGCCGGUCACUCAAUAAAGAGUCGUGUGCAAGCCACCCCUUGCUCCCCCCCUGAUCCAACAUUUUUGUUCAACAGGGGCGUGGGGUUCAGUUCGACGGUGACGAGCCAGGCAGCCGGCCUUCGCAUAAUGAACUGGUGCAGUUCGAUCUUGUGCGAAUUGGAAAUCCCCUGAUGCUGAGUGUGUCAGUACAACCCUACGCUACAAGGCACGCGUACAUCCACUUCACGUGUUAGUCAAAAGUAUUGUGCGUUUGCUUGGUACCUUUGCUACUCUAGUUACAUAUCACUUGUGAAAUCAAAAAUAUUUUGUUGUUCACUUUUUUGUGUUUUGUUGAAUAAAUCUCAUGCUGUCUUUUCUGUGAGCUACAAAAUCAUAGUGCUUAAAAUACCGAUGUGUGCGUCAUACUUGAAUUGAAGAAGUUACAGGAGAAAGUACCCCUAUUCCGUUACUUUGAGAAUUACAAGUACACCUUUCUGAUAGUACAGUGCAUGCCCUGCACAAAUGGCGCAGUGGUAGAUGCUUGGUGAAGUCCGUUAUAGCUUGAUGUUUAUUCCAAGGGAGUUCAUGUCGAACUACACUUCAACUAUGCAUGAUGCUUUUUUUCGGAGAAAGAAACUAUGGAAGGUUCAAAUUAUCUUGAUAGUUCAAUCACUGAAAAAUGAGGAGUUCUGAGGGUUACAUAAAAACUUUCUUUACAAAAAAAGAGUAGAACAAGUAAUGAUCAUAUUUGUCAUCAUGCUUUUAGCUAAAUUAGUGUAUGACUGAAACUCAGUUCCAUUUAGAUCACUAAUUACUCUAAAAGGUGAUUUGAAGUUUCAUCCACAUCAUGUUCUUGCAUCAUGUGGCACUGUUUGAUGUACCACUGAAUUUAGUUUGGUUCAGUUCUUAUUCCAGUGACCAAGUUAGGUCAAUUUUUAUUUUUGUGUUCAAUUCAGUUCAGUUUCUGCCCCACAUAUAAGUUCACCUAUUUUAUUGCUAAAAUAGGUUCGUUUUGUUCCCAGUAGGAUCUUGCCAUGAUUACCUUUGUGAAACCUGUACACUCAACACUCAUAUCUAUGUAUUGAGAACCAGAUUUUCUUUUUAUAAUAAGCUUUACUUUCAUACUGACAUUUCAUUUAUGUUCUUUUACAGUAGAACAAAUACUAUGUUUUAUGCCAAGUAAGUUCAAACAGAACGAAAGUGGAGCUUCAUUUGCAAAGAAUAGAAAAGGAACACAUGUUUCAUUUAUGUUUUCGAUGAAUCUAGCCUGAACUGAAGCCUGUCGGUGAGCCGGGCGCUGGGCCAACCACAAGGCAAUGCCACCGAGGAGGACGCUCGAUAGCCGCCGAGCGCCGUGUGAGCCUUUUCGAUCCCAUUUCCAGGUUGAACUCCAAGGAUCACGCCGUGGGGUGUGCAAAGGUGCUAGCUAGCCCCUGCUUCCAUUUUUCUUCAAAAGCUUUGCUAACCCAUUAGCCACUUAUAAGAUGACUUUGCUUCCAAUUAGCCACUUAAAGCUGUGGCCAUUUAAUGAAAAAUCUUUUCUAUAGAACCAGUUUCUAACAUUGUUGCCGCGUGUACGCGUCCCACUCCAACGGCAUGGCUUAUGCUUUAGUGGCAAACAGUGGAGCCUGCUGGAGGAGUCAUGGGGAAACAUAAUGAGUUCUACAGAAAUAAAUAUAGAAGUUCAUAUUUCAAAACAAAUGAAGUAUUUGGGAAGUAAAAUGAAGUAUCUCAAAGUACACAUCUUUUUAGGUUUCGUUGUGAACAUGCAAUGUUACUGUACACGAACUUGUUCUUUUUACAUGAACUUUUGCGUGCUAAUUGGUGGCUGUUGUGUUUGUGCAAGAAUGGUGGCAUGAAGCAGUUGAGUAGGUGUGCAUGGCCGUUCACUGCCUCAACACAAGGCCGUUCGGUGACGCAACGCUCAAGCCGUUCACCCUUGCCACCACAAGCCGUUCACCUCCGCCACACAAGGUCGUGCGACAACGCAGUGAUCAGGUUCUUCGCCUCUACCACCGCGAGCCAUUCACCUUUGCCACAGGUGGUCGACGCAGCGCUAAGGAUGUUUUGUUCUUUUUCAGUACAUGUUAUGUGUGCUUUUCAGUUCACCUACUUGGCGAUUCUAUGUCCAAUUUCCCCUCUGUUUAUGUGUUUUCCUAUAGCACAAGAAGUGUUGUGUGUUAUGACUUAAUAAGCAAAUAUUGUUUUGUUCUCAGUAUUCUCAUGUAGGCCAAAAUGGUGAACAUUUAAACAUCAGCCCAAAUUAAUAAA